GAUGAAGACCGCAGCGAAAUGCGAUAAGUAAUGCGAAUUGCAGAAUCCGUGAGUCAUCGAAUCUUUGAACGCACAUUGCGCCCCUUGGUUAUUCCGAAGGGCAUGCCUGUUCGAGCGUCAUUAUCACCCCUCAAGCCCUGGCUUGGUGUUGGACUUUAGUUAUAGCUUUGCCUAUCAACUGGUCUCAAAGAUAGUGACGGCGCCCCAGAGGGAACCGGGUACGAGGAGCUUUUUACUAAGCAUGUAUCUGGGACGACUCUGGGCGACGGUCUUGUUAUACUUUUUACCUAAGUGUUGACCUCGGAUCAGGUAGGAAUACCCGCUGAACUUAAGCAUAUCAAUAAGCGGAGGA
This 352-nucleotide unclassified non-coding RNA is filed under the name soil metagenome. Its description in RNAcentral is "partial contains 5.8S ribosomal RNA, internal transcribed spacer 2, and large subunit ribosomal RNA". The stretch from base 1 to 120 matches the Rfam family "5.8S ribosomal RNA", at positions 35 to 154 of the family's 154-position model. The record is from RNAcentral.